CUGGACUCACUUUUAAUGCAACCACAGAAAUUAAGCUAAAUGAUCGUGUACAGCUUUAGCUCAUGAAAUUUUGAGAAGAUUUCGGCAGAAACCCUCUUCUGGAGAUACUUUUAAGAAGACUCCAACUUCUUAAGUUUCUAAUAACACAAGCAAUUGCAGUUGUUUAUUUUUUAGUUUUGCCAUAAUAAUCCUAUGUAACAAUGGAGAUUCAGUUAUAUUAUACUGUUUCACUUGUUCUAAAGUGCUUGACGUGCAACCAACCUGCAAGCAAACUUUACAUGCCUAAACCCACACUUUUGUAACGUGGCUUUGGACGAGGAUUUCUUGUAUAUUAUGUGCUAAUAAUAAAGUCGAUGAAAGCUUAUUGUAUGUCUAGCCUAUUUGAAGGAUGCAAUGAAGACCGAAGGCACACAUGCAAAUUAUUGUGGUGUUGCAGCUGGAAACAAACUACAAUGCCUAAAUAAAGCAAGAAAUUUAAGCCGCAGGGAUAAAAGUAAGUGCACCUGGUGGGGAUUGUACUCCCCAUCCCCAUGCCAUGAAUAAGCUUGUGCCUGUCACCGAGACGGGAUUCCAAUAAUUGAGGGAACCCCUCCCACUCUCAACUUGUUCAAAGAGAAUAUAUCAUUGUCCCCCCAUGGUGUUACCUCCAUCAUGGACUCCACGGCUCAUCCUCGUCCUCUCGACAGAGAAAAAGGCAUCGGGACCACAGCUAAAGGUUCUAGAGGAUAAAAUUAAGUCCCAUGUACAUGCAGUACAGGAGCAUAUACAUUUGAAUGUAGCUCCUGACUAACUUUGAAUAUUUAUAUUAAACCCUUAUGUCGACUGUUGCUCUCAGACUAAAACCUAGAGUUGAAUCCUCCU
Molecule: long non-coding RNA, 861 nt
Filed under: Elaeis guineensis (African oil palm)
Lineage: Eukaryota; Viridiplantae; Streptophyta; Magnoliopsida; Arecales; Arecaceae
Description: long non-coding RNA (EGUI_LNC028417)
Source: RNAcentral